AGGACCACGCGUGACCACCGCGAUCAAACGACGGCUACGGUCUGUGUUCGUAGGGAAGUGAAGUCAGACCUCUGCUGGAUGUCGUGUGUCCCCUAGGACUGCGUCCUCCCGCGCAGACAGAGCUCCAGAGCACCACCCCACUGUGCCUCAUUCAGGAAGUGCUGUGAUCAAGAAACCACUACUGCUGCUGGUGCCAGGACUGUGAUUCCCAUCAACAGCACUGAUGGCCUGCACCUCACCUCUGACACCCAUGGGACUCUUGUAUGUGGACACCAGAAAGUCUGCUAAUUCUGGAACAAAAACCUGAAAUGUCUCCAUGAGAUGGACUGCUGAAAGAAAUAGAAAACCACAGAGGUGAGGCCUCCACCGUACUUCCAAAUGCUGUAUUGCACAUGGAAUGCAUUUGAUUUGUCAGAUCAAUCACUUUCAGAAUCCAAGCUGCAAAGGAGUUUUGGAAACACAGACCAGAGUUUUCCAGCCUCUGUCAGACGAGAAGGCUAAAAAAGAUUGGAAUGGAUGAUGGGCAUUCAUAUUCACAUAAAUUCGACUUCUAUAUA
RNAcentral lists this long non-coding RNA (557 nucleotides) under Homo sapiens (human). RNAcentral describes it as "HSALNT0356962". Lineage: Eukaryota; Metazoa; Chordata; Mammalia; Primates; Hominidae. The record is from RNAcentral.